UUAUAGAAUGGACAGGCUUUUCUGAGCUAACCUGAGAACCUAACUCCUUUGUAUACCAUUGGAAUUAGAUCUCAACCCGUUUCCCAUGUCCCCCGUAGAAACUAACACAAGGCCUAUUGGGAAGUGGAUUCAGCUGUGCUUUAGAACUGCCUAAAACCCCUUCCAGGGGCGCCCCUCCAUCCCCUUGCCGGACCACCAGCCCAGUAGACCAGGUUGGGGGAGGCAGUCCCCAGCUCACCAGGCAAUCUCUUCCAAAGGGCUCCAGGGGCUUCUAACAUGCAACUAGGGCUGAGAACAGCUGCUAAGAUGAAAAAGGGGGUGGUAGUGGAUUACAGUUUCUCAGUUACCUGUUUUGCGCGGCAACACUGCCCGUGCAACCACCAAGCCAUGCUGGAUGGUGAGUCGUACCCACAGGCUGACUCUCCAGAUGAAGGAAGAAACGUGAGGACCCGCAGAACUUCCCUCGCUAUAGGAGAGGAAAGGAGUUUUGAGGCUAGAGGUUCCCGGAUUGAACCCAGGUCCUCAGCAAUGACGCGCAGAGCCCUAACCACUGGACCGCCAGGGAAUUCCCCAAAGCAGAACUCUAGACAUCAUGCGACAAACCGAAACGUGGGGACCCUCUUCCCAGAGGAAGCUACUGUCAAGAACAACUAGUUUUAAACUCUGCCAUGAAAGGAGCCGUCCCCUCAUUUACCACCCAGCCCCCUCAAAUCCUGUUAACCCUUCCUUCUAUUAAUAUUACUGAUCUGUGCUCUGCUGUUUCCCACCAUUUCUGCCUCAGGCCAAGGAAGUCAGUGCCUGCGUGCUUAGUCGCUGCAGUCAUGUCCGACUCUCUGCGACUCCAUGGACUAUAACCCACCAGGCUCCUCUGAACAUGGGGAUUCUCCAGGCAAGAAUACUGGAGUGGGCUGCCAUGCCCUUUUCUAGGGGAUCUUCUCAACUCAGGGAUCGAAACUGCAUCUCUUUUGUCUCCUGCAUUGCAGGCGGAUUCUUUACCACUGAGCCCCGCAAGAAGCCCAUACCCAUUGCCUAUUGCAAUAACCCUUCACUGUCUGUGAAUCUCUACUUCCUUCCAUGCCUCCCUCCAUUCUCUAUGCUGUCACCAGACUGAUGCUUCCAAAACGGCAGCAAGAACCCUACAGGUGAAAGAAUGCAAGAAACCACUCCAGUUUCCCACAAGUUCUCUGGCUACCAUGUCAGACGCCUCCUGAGCAAACAGCCCAUCAGCGAGUGGCCCCCUUCGCCGGAGCUACUAAGACAGCAGUCACCCGUUCAUCAGCAGCCCCAGCCCAGACCUGCAGAGUCAGAAGGGCUGGAGCACAGCAGUCCUCUUCCCCAGGCACAUCUGAGAAGCCUGAUUCAAUUUGGGAAGACCACCCACCAGGCACUCCACCCCCCCACUCUGAAUCAUCCCAGGAUUUGAUCCACUUUGCAAAGGUGGCUUUCCUUUUCUAAAAAGGCUGCACCCACUGGGGUGUGCACAGGGCUCCUGCGUCAGCGAGGUGGAGACUCUACCUGCAAACAGAUGAGAGGCCUCAGGACUGAGAGGCUGCACAAAGGGACCUUUAAAACCGACAAGGAAAUUAGCUCUUGCUCUGGCCCUAAGGAAGCUGGAUCAGGACUAAAGAUAUCUAGUCAGUUUCUACAAAUAUCUGCUCCUCAGAGAGGCUUAUGGAGCCCCCCAGUACUGCCACCAAUCUCCACCUCCAUCUCUUGAUCCUACUGUAAUUUUCUUUCAUGGCACUUAUCACUUCUGGAAAUUGUAUGGAUAUCUGUUGUCUAUUAAUUAUCAGCCUCCACCGAUAGAAUAUCAGCACAAGGACAGGAAUCUUGCAUUUGGUUCACUUCUAGAGCAGUAGGACUUAGAGUAGACCAGCAUGUAAUAGGGAGUAAUCAGUAUUUGUUGAAUGAAUGAAGGAAUGAAUGCAUGACAGCACACACACUCCAGCAGAGCAAGAACUGGCUCGCUCCGCUCUGUGAGCUCACCUCACGCUGCCUGGUAAGCAGGCAGAGCCUUAAAGUCUCCUUGAAUCAAUGAACAAGGUGCAAGCUUGUUUUUAAACUAUGAGCCCCAACACCUACACAAUACUUCAUCCAGACUGCCCUUUAUCAGGCUGAGCAGUUGCCAGGCUAUUGCUCAGUGCGUGUGUAAAAGGAGCCAAGGGGAUGCUGAAC
Bos taurus (domestic cattle) is the source of this 2175-nucleotide long non-coding RNA. The record is from Ensembl. Lineage: Eukaryota; Metazoa; Chordata; Mammalia; Artiodactyla; Bovidae.